Molecule: ribosomal RNA, 1369 nt
Filed under: uncultured bacterium
Lineage: Bacteria
Description: bacterial SSU rRNA
Rfam family: Bacterial small subunit ribosomal RNA
Source: RNAcentral
GACGAACGCUGGCUUCGUGCCUAAUACAUGCAAGUAGAACGCUGAAGAGAGGAGCUUGCUCUUCUUGGAUGAGUUGCGAACGGGUGAGUAACGCGUAGGUAACCUGCCUGGUAGCGGGGGAUAACUAUUGGAAACGAUAGCUAAUACCGCAUAAAAUUGAUUAUUGCAUGAUAAUUAAUUGAAAGAUGCAAUUGCAUCACUACCAGAUGGACCUGCGUUGUAUUAGCUAGUUGGUGAGGUAACGGCUCACCAAGGCGACGAUACAUAGCCGACCUGAGAGGGUGAUCGGCCACACUGGGACUGAGACACGGCCCAGACUCCUACGGGAGGCAGCAGUAGGGAAUCUUCGGCAAUGGGGGGAACCCUGACCGAGCAACGCCGCGUGAGUGAAGAAGGUUUUCGGAUCGUAAAGCUCUGUUGUAAGAGAAGAACGGGUGUGAGAGUGGAAAGUUCACACUGUGACGGUAUCUUACCAGAAAGGGACGGCUAACUACGUGCCAGCAGCCGCGGUAAUACGUAGGUCCCGAGCGUUGUCCGGAUUUAUUGGGCGUAAAGCGAGCGCAGGCGGUUAGAUAAGUCUGAAGUUAAAGGCUGUGGCUUAACCAUAGUAUGCUUUGGAAACUGUUUAACUUGAGUGCAGAAGGGGAGAGUGGAAUUCCAUGUGUAGCGGUGAAAUGCGUAGAUAUAUGGAGGAACACCGGUGGCGAAAGCGGCUCUCUGGUCUGUAACCGACGCUGAGGCUCGAAAGCGUGGGGAGCAAACAGGAUUAGAUACCCUGGUAGUCCACGCCGUAAACGAUGAGUGCUAGGUGUUAGGCCCUUUCCGGGGCUUAGUGCCGCAGCUAACGCAUUAAGCACUCCGCCUGGGGAGUACGACCGCAAGGUUGAAACUCAAAGGAAUUGACGGGGGCCCGCACAAGCGGUGGAGCAUGUGGUUUAAUUCGAAGCAACGCGAAGAACCUUACCAGGUCUUGACAUCCCUCUGACCGCUCUAGAGAUAGAGUUUUCCUUCGGGACAGAGGUGACAGGUGGUGCAUGGUUGUCGUCAGCUCGUGUCGUGAGAUGUUGGGUUAAGUCCCGCAACGAGCGCGACCCCUAUUGUUAGUUGCCAUCAUUCAGUUGGGCACUCUAGCGAGACUGCCGGUAAUAAACCGGAGGAAGGUGGGGAUGACGUCAAAUCAUCAUGCCCCUUAUGACCUGGGCUACACACGUGCUACAAUGGCUGGUACAACGAGUCGCAAGCCGGUGACGGCAAGCUAAUCUCUGAAAGCCAGUCUCAGUUCGGAUUGUAGGCUGCAACUCGCCUACAUGAAGUCGGAAUCGCUAGUAAUCGCGGAUCAGCACGCCGCGGUGAAUACGUUCCCGGGCCU